RNAcentral lists this ribosomal RNA (448 nucleotides) under Pomacea paludosa. Its description in RNAcentral is "partial small subunit ribosomal RNA". It matches the Rfam family "Microsporidia small subunit ribosomal RNA", at positions 752 to 1303 of the family's 1311-position model. Lineage: Eukaryota; Metazoa; Mollusca; Gastropoda; Architaenioglossa; Ampullariidae. The record is from RNAcentral.
UCUAAAUUAUAAAUGUAUUUACCUGAGCACUAUGAAUAGAAAGUUUCUAUUUUAGUUUAAAACUCAAAAGACUUGGCGGUGUUCUAGACUUCUCAGGGGAACUUGCCCCUUAAUCGACAGUCCGCGAUAGACCUAACUUUUUUUAAAGUAUGUAUACCGUCGUCAUCAGGUGACUUUUAAAAAGAUAAAAGUUAGCAUAUAAAAAUAUUUAUUUUUCAUGUCAGAUCAAGGUGCAGCUUAUAAAAAAGCGAGGGUGAGUUACAAUUAAGAAAUUUUAAUCACGGAAAUUUUGAUGAAAUUUAUUUUUGAAGGAGGACUUGAAAGUAAAUAUAAAAUUAUAAAAGUAUUUUGAAUAUAGCUCUGGAACGUGCACACAUCGCCCGUCGCUCUCGUUGAAAAAUGAGAUAAGUCGUAACAUAGUAAUGGUAACGGAAGUUGCCGUUAGAUG